UGAUGCAAGUGUCAAAAGUAUAAAUUGCGUUUGUGCUUGCACAAUAAGNCAUUUAUACUUAUUGACACGCCGAACAACGAGAACGGAAAUAAAUGGUGUGAACACACCAUUUUAUGGGGAGUCGAGGGUGUCGAGGGAUGUGAAAUUGCGUNAGCAUGAAGCAAUCUGGAUGCAUCA
This 177-nucleotide non-coding RNA is filed under the name unclassified sequences. Its description in RNAcentral is "Clostridiales-1 RNA". It matches the Rfam family "Clostridiales-1 RNA". RNAcentral also lists the same sequence under 1 other name. The record is from RNAcentral.